RNAcentral lists this ribosomal RNA (501 nucleotides) under uncultured bacterium. Its description in RNAcentral is "partial 16S ribosomal RNA". It matches the Rfam family "Bacterial small subunit ribosomal RNA", at positions 28 to 506 of the family's 1533-position model. The record is from RNAcentral.
GACGAACGCUGGCGGCGUGCCUAAUACAUGCAAGUCGAACGAACCGCGACUAGGUGCUUGCACUUGGUCAAGGUGAGUGGCGAACGGGUGAGUAACACGUGGGUAACCUACCUCAUAGUGGGGGAUAACAGUCGGAAACGACUGCUAAUACCGCAUAGGACAUAGGAUCACAUGAUUCUGUGAGGAAAGGUGGCGCAAGCUAUCGCUAAGAGAUGGACCCGCGGUGCAUUAGCUAGUUGGUAGGGUAAAGGCCUACCAAGGCGAUGAUGCAUAGCCGACCUGAGAGGGUGAUCGGCCACAUUGGGACUGAGACACGGCCCAAACGCCUACGGGAGGCAGCAGUAGGGAAUCUUCCGCAAUGGACGCAAGUCUGACGGAGCAACGCCGCGUGAGUGAAGAAGGUCUUCGGAUCGUAAAGCUCUGUUGUUAGAGAAGAACAGCGCAUAGAGUAACUGUUAUGCGUGUGACGGUAUCUAACCAGAAAGCCACGGCUAACUACGU